RNAcentral lists this ribosomal RNA (585 nucleotides) under uncultured bacterium. RNAcentral's name for it is "partial 16S ribosomal RNA". It matches the Rfam family "Bacterial small subunit ribosomal RNA", at positions 355 to 1375 of the family's 1533-position model. The record is from RNAcentral.
UGGGGAAUUUUGGACAAUGGGCGAAAGCCUGAUCCAGCAAUGCCGCGUGUGUGAAGAAGGCCUUCGGGUUGUAAAGCACUUUUGUCCGGAAAGAAAUCCUUGGCUCUAAUACAGUCGGGGGAUGACGGUACCGGAAGAAUAAGCACCGGCUAACUACGUGCCAGCAGCCGCGGUAAUACGUAGGGUGCAAGCGUUAAUCGGAAUUACUGGGCGUAAAGCGUGCGCAGGCGGUUUGCUAAGACAGAUGUGAAAUCCCCGGGCUCAACCUGGGAACUGCAUUGGUGACUGGCAGGCUAGAGUAUGGCAGAGGGGGGUAGAAUUCCACGUGUAGCAGUGAAAUGCGUAGAGAUGUGGAGGAAUACCGAUGGCGAAGGCAGCCCCCUGGGCCAAUACUGACGCUCAUGCACGAAAGCGUGGGGAGCAAACAGGAUUAGAUACCCUGGUAGUCCACGCCCUAAACGAUGUCAACUAGUUGUUGGGGAUUCAUUUCCUUAGUAACGUAGCUAACGCGUGAAGUUGACCGCCUGGGGAGUACGGUCGCAAGAUUAAAACUUAAAUGAAUUGACGGGGUCAUAGCUGUUUCCU